AUUCAGAAUGAGGUAAUUGCCAUAGUUGGAACAAAAAUAGGAGAAAGAGAAACCUAAAAAAAACCUAAAUGAGACCAAAUAUUUCUCGAUUUUACUCCUGAUGUGAACCACAUAGAGAACCAAUACCAGAAAGGAAAGCAGAGUCUCAGCAAUUAAACCCUUGCGUUAUUUCCUACCUGAAGUAUAUGAUGACAACAGGGACAUUAACACUGAACAUCAGGCCCAUUCCUUAGUAACCAAGAUAAAAACAUUCAAAUUCAUUUGUUCCAUUGUCAUUUGG
Non-coding RNA from Pelobates cultripes (western spadefoot toad), 280 nucleotides. NCBI's taxonomy places the organism in Eukaryota, Metazoa, Chordata, Amphibia, Anura, Pelobatidae. The record is from the annotation of a GenBank genome assembly.